Molecule: long non-coding RNA, 460 nt
Organism: Cololabis saira (Pacific saury)
Lineage: Eukaryota; Metazoa; Chordata; Actinopteri; Beloniformes; Belonidae
Exons: 3
Source: RefSeq, a predicted model, not a curated record
CAAUAGUUAAUCUGGAAAGUGUUAGUGUCAAAAGUGUUGGUGUUAGUGUUAAAAAUGCCUAAGCUUUGUGUGGCAAUAGGCUGUAAUAACAAACAGUUGUCAGUCUUUUCCUUUCCAAAGGAUGCAGACAGCAAGAGAGAAAACGUCUGACAGACAAUGCUACACCUACUAUAAUCAACUGCCCUAAUCCUCCUCCAUCAACUGCUGGUAGACGUGUGCUACGCAGGAUCGAAAACACUGCCAGGUUUCCUUGAUCCAAUUCUGAACCAGAUGGCACAGUUAGCCAAAACAAUGAAGGCAUCUGAGCUUGCCAUUUCAUUAAUUUUUGAUGAGAUGGCGAUAGAAAAACAUCUGGAUUACAAUCGGGCAUUGGACAGGAUAGAUGGGCUCACGCAUGAAGGCGAGGUGGCUAACCAAGCCAUGGUACUGAUGGCUCGAGGAGUGGCCUCAAAGUGGAAGC